CGACCUCCUCCUCCUCCUCUUUGUUUUUAACGCUCGCUCGGCCCCCUCUCGUCAUCCUCUCUCGGUUGAGCCCCAUCCCUAGCCCCGAUCGGCGAUCGACGAUUCCGCUUCUCCGCCGCCGUCGACCUCGCCGCCGUCUGAGGAAACAAGCUUUCUUCUACCGAAGGCCGGUCACCAAAUUCCAUUUGCAAUGCAUGCCUGGAGGCUUCAAGAAAAGCUGAGAAAGCCUUGGGUGAUCCAGAAUUGUUUGGUGUCUACAAAAGUCAGAGGCAUAUAUGCAUCAAAUAACGCUGUCUUUGCAAGAUCUUUUCCAUGAAGAAAAUCUCUGCAACAGCACAGGAUUAUGUUUGGACGAGUCCCUGCUUUGUCGCAUUUCAUUAAACAAGUUUUCUUCUGAGGUAAAUGAGCUUUUAUCGAUUGUAGUAACAAUACAAACUGACAUUUCUCCCAUAGCAUUCAAGCCAUGCAUCAAUUCCGUUAAAUGAAUGUCUUGAACUGCUGCAGGUGAUGCACAUUUACACAUUUUGUCUAUUCAAAAUAAUAUUUUCAUUUACAGCAGGUGAUGCAGUGAGGUAGCUGAAUAUUGUAGAAAAUUACAAGUAGAAGCUCAGCUUAUAAUAUGGAUUAUUCUGUAUUAGCAAAUUACUGAACAUUAAAAUGCUUGCACACUUAGAAUUAGCCAGGUUUUCCUCCCAUCCUAGUUCUCGAAAAUAAAAUAAAGGAUUCGAAAUGAAAUGAAAUGCUUGCACACUGAACAACUAGUGGUAACAAUACUAUAUCAUUGUUCAACCCCAGUUCCAUGAUGUUGCAUUGUUGUUGUGGUAUUAUUUAACACUGGUGAAGCUAAAUCUCUGUUGUUUACCAUCAGACAGAGGAGAACACUUGUUUAGCAUGCCGCAAAUCUGUCAAAAAUAUUUUCAUUCAAUUAAAGGCUCCUAAGCUGAGGGUAAUCAUAUUGUGGAUCGAUGAAAUACUAUAGUAUAUAUUUUAUCCUCUUCUUCUGGUAACUAUCGGUUUUAUUUGCACUUCUAAUUCAGAUGAAGAUAAUGGAGACUCUUAUUGAGAACUGCAAAGAAGCAGAUGAGAAUGAAGAGCAAUGCAAGCAAAUUGUCUGCAUGUAUGUUCCCCUAAUCCUGUCAAAACUUGACAAGCAGAAACCCAGUGACCGGUGCCGUCUGAUGAAUCUCUAUGAUGAGGGGAUAUCUCUGUGAAAUGCCUGUCCAGUUAGCUAAGUGGUAGCUUUGCUUCUAUUAGAUGUGCUCAAAAUAACCAAGAAAGGGGGAGAUUCUGGAUCUUUGAGGAUUGAAUAAUGUGAUGUUCAUGCAUCAUAUGUCCAAUGUUGCUGGGAUUGGUGUGAUCAGCCAUGUGUUAUUGCUUUUAUGUCUGAAAAGCAGAUGUAUAUUCUUCUUUCGGUAUAAAAAUUUUGUCCGAAGAACCUUUGGAAAUCUUCUGCCGCAGUUGGCAUCUGAUCAAGCAUUGCAAUAUAUUGCUGCUACCUCAUCUAGUUGUCCAAAACAAUCAUGUUGGUCAAAGGAGGGCUCAACUCCAAAUAGUCUGCAUAGAAGAGUGCUCCUGUAUGGAUGUUGGAGAGCUACGAGGGAGUGUGGGAGGGACUCUCACCGCCGGCAUUACAUGAUAAUGUGGAAUUCGACUAUAGUGGAAACUAUCUUGCAAUUGCGGGUUCGGAUGUAAGGGUCUACCAAGUUGCCAGUGUAAAGAUGGAAUGGAAUCAGAUUAAGACACUCGCUGAUUUAUCAGGCACAGGAAAAGUGACAUGCGUUAAGUUGGGAUGGCCCAGAGGAACCCAGAUCACCAGAUCACUGAUUUCAAACUUACAGAGAAGCCAGAGUCGAGAUUCUUUGCGUUAUCACUUAAUCCUUUGCUGCUCAUGGGGACGCUGCACGCCCCUGGGCUCGAGAUCAGCAGUUAACCGUUGGAUGCCCCCCCUUGUAAUUUAAGUGCAACCAAGAUCCUGGAUGGAAGCCCUGAAUAUGGCAUUUUAUUUUGAUGAUGUCCCGUAAAACAUGUUGUAUUCGUAGUUUUGAGUCACCGGUGAAAAAGCGCAUAAACUUAUUCUAUCUGUGAUUCUUGACA
Non-coding RNA from Phoenix dactylifera (date palm), 2094 nucleotides. The record is from RefSeq and is a predicted model, not a curated record. Lineage: Eukaryota; Viridiplantae; Streptophyta; Magnoliopsida; Arecales; Arecaceae.